GUGAGGAAUAUUGGUCAAUGGGCGGGAGCCUGAACCAGCCAAGUCGCGUGAAGGAAGAAGGAUCUAUGGUUCGUAAACUUCUUUUGCAGGGGAAUAAAGUGCAGGACGUGUCCUGUUUUGUAUGUACCCUGAGAAUAAGGAUCGGCUAACUCCGUGCCAGCAGCCGCGGUAAUACGGAGGAUCCGAGCGUUAUCCGGAUUUAUUGGGUUUAAAGGGUGCGUAGGUGGUUUGAUAAGUCAGCGGUGAAAGUUUGCAGCUUAACUGUAGAAAUGCCGUUGAAACUGUCGGACUUGAGUGUAAAUGAGGUAGGCGGAAUGCGUGGUGUAGCGGUGAAAUGCAUAGAUAUCACGCAGAACUCCGAUUGCGAAGGCAGCUUACUAAGCUACAACUGACACUGAAGCACGAAAGCGUGGGGAUCAAACAGGAUUAGAAACCCUGGUAGUCC
This 445-nucleotide ribosomal RNA is filed under the name uncultured bacterium. RNAcentral's name for it is "partial 16S ribosomal RNA". It matches the Rfam family "Bacterial small subunit ribosomal RNA", at positions 354 to 796 of the family's 1533-position model. The record is from RNAcentral.